UUAAUUUUUUAAAUUAAAAUUAAAUUCGAAUUAAUUAAAAACUUUAACUAAUUUAAU
RNAcentral lists this transfer RNA (57 nucleotides) under Didesmococcus koreanus. RNAcentral's name for it is "tRNA-Arg". Lineage: Eukaryota; Metazoa; Arthropoda; Insecta; Hemiptera; Coccidae. The record is from RNAcentral.